Non-coding RNA from Rattus norvegicus (Norway rat), 5189 nucleotides. The record is from RefSeq and is a predicted model, not a curated record. NCBI's taxonomy places the organism in Eukaryota, Metazoa, Chordata, Mammalia, Rodentia, Muridae.
AUUAUGGUGUAUGUGUGUGUGUGUGUGUGUGUGUGUGUGUGUGUGUGUGUGUGUGUGUUGGAUAUGGAGUUUUUCUCCCACCAGACAGCGGUGGGUAAGAGUCAGAUGCUUCUUACUCAGAUGACAGAGAGCUGUCCUCCAGGCCUAGAAACUCCCAACUCAUUUUCUCUUUCCAUACCCAUGCUCCUGCCCUGUCUAUAGGGGCACAAUUCCAUUUUUUCCAACUACUGCUUUUUCACAGGAACAAUAUAGGAGUGGCUCAAAGAUGGAACCCUUCCCUGGUCCCCCUUUCCUUUUUUUUGGGGGGGGGAUGCUAAGAGGUAAGGAAGCAAGGCAGACGGGCCAACAAGCACAGACAAAACAGGACAGGCUGGAGAACAGGCUGAAGUCGGGAAGUGGAAGAUCCGGUUGAAGCAAGAGAAAAGGAGGAAAGGACAAAAGUCUAGUAGAUGCAGGCCACUGUCUGUGAAUUAUUCAUCUUUGUGUUGAGGCCCUGAUCAGAUCCCAGCGCAGAGCCAUGGAGACGCUCAAUGAAUGUUUCAUGAACUCUUGCUGAAGAUGAAAAUUCACAAGUGGGCUGGUUUUGUACUGACUAGAUUCCCGAGAAAAGUGCAAACACUGGCUUGGGACACGGGUGCCAGUUCUUUGUACCUACAGCAAAUCUCAGACAGAAGAAGCUCUGGGGGACCAGCAGGAAAUAAGAAGAGGGGGACGGAGAGAGAGAGAGGUGAGGCUACAGAUCCCGAGUAUGACUGAACACACCUGAGCAGGACUUCUGAGCUUUAGGACAGGAGGACCACAAGGCUGAUCUGAGUAUUAAAUGAGAUAGCAUACACUAAUGGGUUUGUGGACUGCAACAAUUACACUGCUUAUUUUCAGUGACAGAAUCUCACUAUGGUACCAGGCUGGCCUCAAAACUUGGGGUUCGGGGUUGGGGAUUUGGCUCAGUGGUAGAGCGCUUGCCUAGGAAGUGCAAGGCCCUGGGUUCAGUCCCCAGCUCCGAAAAAAAAAAACAACUUGGGGUUCAAAUAAUCCUCUUGGCCUAGUCUUCUGUAAAUCUGGGACUCUGAGCACACAUUGCUUAGGUGGCUUUUAGUAGUACAAGUGAGGCCAGGGUCUGACUACAGAAGCACCAAGUCCUUCUAAGGAAGAAGUGAGCACUUCUGAGGUUUUUGUUUUUGUUUUGUUUUGUUUUUGUUUUUUUCUUUUUUUCUCCAGGAACAGAAAAUUCUCGACUGAUAACCUAGAUUGACCUCAAAUGGCCUCCCUGGCUUCUGGCCUCACCUUCCAGCCUCUUGUCAGAACAUCACAGAUAUCCUUUGCACACAAAGGGAAGAACUCUGUGUAACAAAUGUAAGAACUCUAGGGAACCAGCCUCUAUCUGCUGACAGUCUGUCUCCAAAUUCACAGUCCAUCCUCCAUCCCUCUCUCAGGUUCUCAAAAAGAAGGCAAGGCCCCUAAGGGACAAAGCUACUUCAGAAACAGCCUGUGGAGGGAUCCCCACAUCCCUUUGAAGAUAUCCUUGUUGUCCAAGGCCUUUUGCCAAUCUGAUCUCAGACAGCAUAAGAAGAAACAGGGGCAUGCCAAAGAAAACCUCACUGCUUACUAAACUGUUCUCCAACUCUGUCUCCAUCAAGUGUGUUUUGUGUCUUAUUUGGGAAGAUGGAAACUGUUUGGUAAGAGCCUGGAAGAAGGAGGAGCCAUCUGCAACUCACCUACAGAGUCAUGCACACGCCAGCAGACAAAAAAGUAGAAAGACCCCCGAGGCAGGAGCUGGAAAGUCAUCUCCCUGGGAAACUGAGGACUUCUCCGGUUGUGAAAAGGUCCAAGAGAGCUAGGGCACUCAAGGAACUUGAAAAGCUUGCGCUCUCCAGGUCUGGUUAGCAUCACCAGCCCCACGGGCUUAAGCGGAGUCCAUGAGCAAGGAAAAUAGGCUUUAGGCAGUGUCAGCUCUCUCCUCAGUCUAGCAUAAGAUUGGGUCCUGUUCAUCAAAGCCCCCAAUCCACUGAUCAGAAGCUGGCCACCUAGGCUGGUCUCAAAGAGAAAAGAUGUGGAAGCUAAGAAUUGAAACUAACGAACUUGGGAAAGAAAAGCCCACACACAGGUCGGCAUCUGGACUUCGAUGUGGAGUGCCUUCUGAGACGUUUACCCCUCUUCUCAGCCUCUUUCCACUCAUCUUUCCCAAGCUCUCUCCAGAAACAUCUUUUCCUCUGCUUUCAGCUCCCCAAGAAAGGUGCCAAGAAAGGUCUGGUUUUCCUCCUUGACUUUGCUUCUCUUCUUAACCACCUGACUACACAAUCCCUUUAUGGGUGGAGGUGGGGCCAGGCACGAUAUGGGAUACUAUGCAAAUAGAGGGUAGACCCACAUUUGGUGUACAUAAGGGUAGCCUCAGUUCCACAGAGGUUCCUGAGAUUUCAACAACCUCCAGAAGGGCAAGAGCGGAAGGGCGAUUCUGACAGGUUCUAAAAACAGAGGGCUAUUGAGUUGAAUGCCCGAUAGUAACCCCAGAGGCACAUGGACCUGUUGCCAAGCCAGUCUUGGUGCUACUAGAUUCACCUUCUAGAUCCCCUGCGGACCUGAAUUUUGCAAAAUUCAGCCCGUUCGCCUUCCACCAACUCCCCACCAGAAUUUCCCAGAAGGCUGGCACUUGGAGUGAGUCGGGAUAAUCCUCGGGAGCGGGAGCGUGGGAAUCUGAACUACUAGGCAGUCUCGGUCGGGCAGCCAUUGUGGACCUUUUCAGACAGGAGUCCAAGCAGGAGCGAGUCCUGGCCAGGAACCAGCUUUUCUUCUCCGCCCCCCACCCCGGUCUGGCAGGAGAGUCCCACAUAUGGUCCGCUCUCAGGCUCCUCUCCGCGGCGCCCAAGGGUGGCCAUCUUCCACUUGGGGAGCGCCAAAGCACGAAGGCCCUAGCGCCCCCUUUGGAGAGUCCCUGGCUCCGACUGGACCAGCGCGCAGCAUGCGCUGUGACAUGCACCAGACAGUUUGCUACUAAUGGGACUUUCACAGAGGUGCUAAGGCCUGGUGUUCAAAAGGCUCGGCCCAAGUCUGCCCAGCGGACCCAGAGGAGGACGAUUCCGGGAGCGAGAUGAGAGCAGUAGGUACUUUCUUUCCCUGUUGGACGUCCUGCGCUCCAUUAAGAACUGGAGAUCUGUUUGGCGCCCAGCGACCCCGGGCUCCUGACACCAGCCUGCAGCAGACAAGAAUGGCCGGCACCCCCAGACUCUUACCGUAGCAUCUUCUCCCGAAUAGUGUCCGAUGACACGGUGCCCCCCUGGGUGCCGCUGGGACCAUUUGGUAACGUUGUAGACCUUGCGGUCGAUGACGAGCCACCGGUCGGUGCGCAGGUUGUGCUUCUGAAUCUCCUCCCAGCGGAAGGUGGGCAUCGGAGCCUGGAGCUCGGUGCUCCCCUCUCCCUGGUUACCUCCCUUCCCCAUGCUGCCUGUCUACCCGGAUGACCCGUGCGCUACGGCCCUCCGGGCGCCCGCGGCUCGCAGCACCGACGGUCCCUCUCCUGGCCGCAGUGUGCGGUAGGCGCCCUCCUCGCUUUCAGCUUUUGUCUUCUACUCCUCCUCCCACCGCGCCUCCUCCCCUCGCCUUCGCUCCUCCUCGCCUACACUAGCUAGCCAGUACCCCUGCCUUCCCUCAGGAGUACCCCUGGCUUCCCAGUGCCCCCCAGCGGUCCCCUUCCUCCACCCGCCCUCGGCCCGCCUGCUGUGGACUUUUGCCUCUAGUGAAAACUCCCGGGUAGCUCAGGGCCUCGACACCUCCUCCCCCCACCCCUCCGGCUCCCCCCGCUCCGGGCUCCGCAUCCUCCCGAGUUCCCCGCCACCCGGGUUUCCACAGUGAUCAGCAGAGCGCCUGCACCAAUCAGGGCUCGUCGCCCCGCCUGCCAUUGGCCCAGGAGAAUCUUUCGAAGGCCAGCGGGCUGGAGCGGCGGGUCCCCGGCUCCCCCUCCCUCGCGUCCGCCCGCACGGAGUUAAGCCCUGCUGGGCGGCCGGCGACGUGUCUGACCUCCUCCUCCUCCUCCCUUCGCUGGCUGGAGCGGAGAAAGACGGAGUAGAUCUCUGAGGAGCUGAGAGGGAGAGCGGGGGCGGCGGCUGGGCUUUUCUUUGCGCGCUUCAAAGCGCGAGCGCGCUCGGCCCGCGCUCCGGGGAUUUGCACCUGAUGCUCGCACAAAGGAGGCGCAACGGCUUUGGUGACCAACACUCGGCCUCCGGCUGGACAAGGGCCCCUGUGCUGUCUUGGCUAGGCGACGGUCUCUCCCUGGCUAGCUGGGACGCAGACUCCCGUAUCUCGCAUUGUCUAAGCGAUCCAUAUUGUUUGUUGCCUUCCAGCAACCUUCCUAGAGAAAGGAGUCAGAAGUGGGUUUCUCUUUAACCAGGGCUCUGACUCCUUUUAUCAGACCAUCUUGGAAAAGAAUUGCAGAACCUCUGCUUCUUCCUCGUGCUAAGUGCCGCGGGGGUGGCUCCUGGGGAGGAUGCCAGGAUGAACUGGACACCGUUCCUGUCUUUGACUGAAAAAGAGUUCACAAGCCUGGUUGGGAAACAUGGAAGCAUUAAAAGCCCGCAAUUGAUUCGACAAUAGUGCACCAAUUACAGGAAAGAAAGAUGCUGAUACUAAGGGAGUAGCAAGAGGGGCCUGUCCACUAAAGUCUCACCACAACCCUGUAAUAUUGUUAUAACUCACUUCAAAAUUAAGAGUCUGAGGUUAAGAGAGAUAAAAUGGUCAAAAUGCACAUGCUUAGCUAGUGGCCCUGCUUGGUCUCUUCCACGGCCCUUUCCAGACUUUGGGCUCCCUAGAUCCUCAUGAUGCUGGUCCAAAUGAAGUACCUGGUGCGGGGGUAAUGGCCUCCCCACAGUCCCUCCCACGGCAUCCUCAUCCCAUUCUGUCCUGGCAUCCGUCACCUUUUCUUCAUUCCACACACUCCAGGCCCAAGGAAUGUGAGUGAAGCCACAAACAUCCAAACAGUGCCGCCUGCCCGCCGGAAAGAUAAGAAGUAGGUGUGGUGGCCAUGUCCAUACUGUCAACAAUCAGAAGCCUGAGGCAGAAUAUUGCCAGAGUUUGAGGCUGGUCUGGGCUGCAAAGCAAGAUCCUGUAGGGGGAUGGGACACAGCUAUGCAUACGGAGCAAGACUGGCUUUUAUACAUGUUAACGAUGUGACAUAAUAAAGUCAAGAAAGCGGUUUUGUA